Molecule: ribosomal RNA, 256 nt
Filed under: uncultured bacterium
Lineage: Bacteria
Description: partial 16S ribosomal RNA
Rfam family: Bacterial small subunit ribosomal RNA
Source: RNAcentral
UACGUAGGGUGCGAGCGUUUGUCCGGAAUUUAUUGGGCGUAAAGAGCUUGUAGGCGGUUUGUCGCGUCUGCUGUGAAAAUCCGGGGGCUCAACCCCGGACUUGCAGUGGGUACGGGCAGACUAGAGUGUGGUAGGGGAGACUGGAAUUCCUGGUGUAGCGGUGGAAUGCGCAGAUAUCAGGAGGAACACCGAUGGCGAAGGCAGGUCUCUGGGCCACUACUGACGCUGAGAAGCGAAAGCAUGAGGAGCGAACAGG